CACGUAGGGGGCGAGCGUUGUUCGGAAUCAUUGGGCGUAAAGGGCGUGCAGGCGGCCCUGCAAGUCUGGCGUGAAAAGCCCCGGCUCAACCGGGGAGACGCGCUGGAAACUGCGGGGCUAGAGUACAGGAGGGGAUGCCGGAAUUCCAGGUGUAGGGGUGAAAUCUGUAGAUAUCUGGAGGAACACCAAUGGCGAAGGCAGGCAUCUGGCCAUGUACUGACGCUGAGACGCGAAGGUGCGGGGAGCAAACAGG
RNAcentral lists this ribosomal RNA (253 nucleotides) under uncultured Spirochaetota bacterium. RNAcentral's name for it is "uncultured Spirochaetes bacterium partial 16S ribosomal RNA". It matches the Rfam family "Bacterial small subunit ribosomal RNA", at positions 524 to 776 of the family's 1533-position model. RNAcentral also lists the same sequence under 1 other name. Lineage: Bacteria; Pseudomonadati; Spirochaetota. The record is from RNAcentral.